UACGUAGGGGGCAAGCGUUGUCCGGAAUUAUUGGGCGUAAAGCGCGCGCAGGCGGCGAUUUAAGUCUUCUGUUUAAUGCAUGGGCUCAACCCGUGUUCGCAGAGGAAACUGGGUGGCUGGAGUGCAGGAGAGGAAAGUGGAAUUCCACGUGUAGCGAUGAAAUGCGUAGAGAUGUGGAGGAACACCAGUGGCGAAGGCGACUUUCUGGCCUGUAACUGACGCUGAGGCGCGAAAGCGUGGGGAGCAAACAGG
RNAcentral lists this ribosomal RNA (252 nucleotides) under uncultured prokaryote. RNAcentral's name for it is "partial 16S ribosomal RNA". It matches the Rfam family "Bacterial small subunit ribosomal RNA", at positions 524 to 776 of the family's 1533-position model. The record is from RNAcentral.